AGCCGCUGAUGAUCCUCUUUGAAUUUCUGACACCUCAUCAAAGUGCUGUUCAUGCAGCUGCUGAUGCUUUUGAUCUGAGGCUC
Molecule: small nucleolar RNA, 83 nt
Organism: Leptobrachium leishanense (Leishan spiny toad)
Lineage: Eukaryota; Metazoa; Chordata; Amphibia; Anura; Megophryidae
Source: Ensembl